UACAAUCUAAAAGCUACUGGUGAGUUGGUAAUAGGUAGUGCAGAUGUUGACAAAACCAUAGUUUUCUACUGUCAAUAACAAACAUGUUUCUAUAUUGCAACAAAUUCAUACAUAUUACCACUGUAUUCAUACAUAUUACUACUGCAGGGGUUUGGAAAUCAAGGGGACAAAUUGUGGGGUGUUAAAAACCACAAACUUAUUUCCAAACCUAUGGCUUCAAAUUUUACAUACUUUGCUUGGUGCCCAGAUAAAGAGACUACUACAUGUGCCCCCAGGUUAUGUGUUAAUAAUGGGUGCGAGAUUUUCCAUUAUACUAGCUCUAUCUUGCACAAGAAUAUCACGCCAUCAAAUGCAGAAAUCGAAAAAAAGCAGCUGUAGAAAAUUCAAAAAGAGACAGCCCUUCUCCAGGAGCUAGAAGAUUUAGAAAUGAGUCUU
This 435-nucleotide long non-coding RNA is filed under the name Homo sapiens (human). RNAcentral describes it as "non-protein coding lnc-GIMAP6-2:1". The record is from RNAcentral. Lineage: Eukaryota; Metazoa; Chordata; Mammalia; Primates; Hominidae.